Molecule: long non-coding RNA, 1950 nt
Organism: Canis lupus familiaris (dog)
Lineage: Eukaryota; Metazoa; Chordata; Mammalia; Carnivora; Canidae
Exons: 6
Source: RefSeq, a predicted model, not a curated record
UCCCAGGCCUUGCCCCUCCUCCGCCUGCCCAGCGCGCGGGCGCGCACCUUCAUUCCAGUUUCUUCCCCGGACUCCGCAGGUCUCCGGAGUAGCCCCGUCGCGGUCUGAGUGCAGCCCGGCCCCUGGCUCUCGCUGUGUCCCCUCCUGUCAGCACGUCACAAACGCACCUUCACAGUUUCAAGAGUCUGCAGGAGCACAGGGGCCACGCGCACCCUGGCGCGUUGUGAGGCCGGAGCUUUCUGAGACAGCUCCCAGCCGAGUGCCUCAAAGCCCAGCUCUUGCGGUGGGUUUCAUGGAGCUUUCUCCGUUCCCAAGGUAAUCACCGGACGUGCAGAGCUCCUGGACAUACGCUAAGAGGGGCUGAGUGCGCAGAGAGAGGAGAGCCCGCUCUGACCCCCAGCCCCGCAGCCGAGCAACUCUGGGGAAGCUAUUUGGAGCCGUCCGAGCCCGCGCCGGCGAUUCACGCUGCAUCAGCGUUGCUCAAGAUGGAAGCAUGGUUUCAUUGGAACCGGGAAUAAUAAUGCCCACAUGGACGGCUGAUUGCUCUUGGCAGACGACUCCUCUGAACUCCAGUGUAGGCCAGAUGCGGGCAACUGGGUGGAACUGACAGCAAGAGAAUCCAGGUUACUUGAAUUGUCUUGCCCUCUUUUGAUGAAGCCAAGGCUCAACUCUUCUGGGGACAGGAAGCAACGACUUGCCCCUCGCCACUACCCUCAGGAAUUUCUGUGGCCACACCGUACCCCUGAAUGCUCCCUCGGUGACUGAAAGCAACUUGUGUUUUGCCGUCGGAGAUGGGGAAUAAAACCUAAGUCAUUAACACGAAUGCUAGGGGAGUCCAGGAGGUUGGCUCUCCGUAAGUGAGACCGAGUGUGUGUUUGUAAAUUGCAGGUGGUGGGGAGAGCCUCUGGUCUGGGUCUCGGCAGGCCUUUGCGGAGGGUAGGGCAAGUGCGGAGUCCACAGCAGAGUAAGUGCCUGCUUACACUCCUGCUUACACUCGGGGCCUGACUUUUCCCCCCUGGGCCUGUUGCUGCUACUCCUGGGAGCAUCUAGCCAGGAGCAGCUGGCAAAGGAGAGUCGUGGUUUACAGAGUCCCCAGCAUCACAAAGCAGAUGGGCAUUUGGAGCGAAGAGACAACAGCUGAGGAGACAUCACAGUCACUCGGCUUAAACCUUGUGACCACCCUGAGAGGCAGAGCAGAGAAUACAUGAUCAGGAAGCCCUUUAUCUCUGUCAACAAGAGAGAUCCAGAGAUGGAGCCCAAUGGAUCACAAUGACUUUUUGACCUGUGUUUCCUGUUACAUGGUGCAUCCAGAGAAUGAGGAGCAUUUUCCUAAAGAGAGGCCAGGUUCAUCCCAGUGGAUCCAAUACUGUAUUCAUCUGCUCCUGAAAAACAAAUAUCAGAGUUAUUUAUUUAUUCAAGUUUUGUUUGAGACAUUUCACCCUAUUAUCCUCUGGCUGGACCACUGGACCUGCACUCAGAAAUGGGAACCAGCUGACUAAAUAAACACUUGCCUAUGGAAAAAGAAGCAGGAAACACGUUUCCAAAACGAGUAAUAUUAACAAACUUCCAAGGGAUAUACAAUCCAUAAUUAAUGACAAUUUGGAGGAAAAAAGACAUAAAAACUUGGAAUUGAAAUAUGACUCUGAGAACAGAGUCAUCAUGAAGAACAAACGGAACAUUUUGGGUAAAGUACCUGGCACACAAUCAACACAGCAAAUAUUACCCCUACUGGUACUACUUACUGAGCCUGCCUCAGCAUCACAGACUGUGCAAACUGAGCAAUCCCAUUGCUACUUUGGCCUCUCCUGCUUUCUCUUCACACGGAUAAUUCACACUAAGGACUCAUACUUUUCCUUCAUGGGUAUUUGUAUUUUUUCUACCUCUGUCCCCCAGAUGUCACCCCUCCUUCUAGUCUACCUGAGAUGCUAUAAUAAAUUUACAAACUUAUAA